GAUGAACGCUGGCGGCGUGCCUAAUACAUGCAAGUCGAGCGAACGGACGAGAAGCUUGCUUCUCUGAUGUUAGCGGCGGACGGGUGAGUAACACGUGGAUAACCUACCUAUAAGACUGGGAUAACUUCGGGAAACCGGAGCUAAUACCGGAUAAUAUUUUGAACCGCAUGGUUCAAAAGUGCAAGACGGCCUUGCUGUCACUUAUAGAUGGAUCCGCGCUGCAUUAGCUAGUUGGUAAGGUAACGGCUUACCAAGGCAACGAUGCAUAGCCGACCUGAGAGGGUGAUCGGCCACACUGGAACUGAGACACGGUCCAGACUCCUACGGGAGGCAGCAGUAGGGAAUCUUCCGCAAUGGGCGAAAGCCUGACGGAGCAACGCCGCGUGAGUGAUGAAGGUCUUCGGAUCGUAAAACUCUGUUAUUGGGGAAGAACAUAUGUGUAAGUAACUGUGCACAUCUUGACGGUACCUAAUCAGAAAGCCACGGCUAACUACGUG
Molecule: ribosomal RNA, 497 nt
Filed under: uncultured bacterium
Lineage: Bacteria
Description: partial 16S ribosomal RNA
Rfam family: Bacterial small subunit ribosomal RNA
Source: RNAcentral